Molecule: non-coding RNA, 136 nt
Organism: Hordeum vulgare subsp. vulgare (domesticated barley)
Lineage: Eukaryota; Viridiplantae; Streptophyta; Magnoliopsida; Poales; Poaceae
Source: Rfam
AAAUUACUCUCUCCAUCCCAAAAUUCUUGUCUUAGGUUUGUUUAGAAAUGAAUGUAUAAAAAUACUAAAACGUGACUAGAUACAUUCAUAUCUAGACAAAUCUAAGACAAGAAUUUUAAGACGGAUGGAGUAUUUA